AGCGAACGCUGGCGGCAGGCUUAACACAUGCAAGUCGAGCGGGCAUCCUUGUGGUGUCAGCGGCAGACGGGUGAGUAACGCGUGGGAACGUGCCCUUCGGUUCGGAAUAACUCAGGGAAACUUGAGCUAAUACCGGAUACGUGCGAGAGCAGAAAGGUUUAUCUGCCGAAGGAUCGGCCCGCGUCUGAUUAGCUAGUUGGUGAGGUUACGGCUCACCAAGGCGACGAUCAGUAGCUGGUCUGAGAGGAUGAUCAGCCACACUGGGACUGAGACACGGCCCAGACUCCUACGGGAGGCAGCAGUGGGGAAUAUUGGACAAUGGGGGCAACCCUGAUCCAGCCAUGCCGCGUGAGUGAUGACGGCCUUAGGGUUGUAAAUCUCUUUUCUCCGGGACGAUAAUGACGGUACCGGAGGAAUAAGCCCCGGCUAACUUCGUG
RNAcentral lists this ribosomal RNA (437 nucleotides) under uncultured bacterium. Its description in RNAcentral is "partial 16S ribosomal RNA". It matches the Rfam family "Bacterial small subunit ribosomal RNA", at positions 29 to 507 of the family's 1533-position model. The record is from RNAcentral.